UACGUAGGGUGCGAGCGUUGUCCGGAAUUACUGGGCGUAAAGAGCUCGUAGGUGGUUUGUCGCGUUGUUCGUGAAAUCUCACGGCUUAACUGUGAGCGUGCGGGCGAUACGGGCAGACUAGAGUACUGCAGGGGAGACUGGAAUUCCUGGUGUAGCGGUGGAAUGCGCAGAUAUCAGGAGGAACACCGGUGGCGAAGGCGGGUCUCUGGGCAGUAACUGACGCUGAGGAGCGAAAGCGUGGGGAGCGAACGGG
This 253-nucleotide ribosomal RNA is filed under the name uncultured bacterium. RNAcentral describes it as "partial 16S ribosomal RNA". It matches the Rfam family "Bacterial small subunit ribosomal RNA", at positions 524 to 776 of the family's 1533-position model. The record is from RNAcentral.